This 508-nucleotide ribosomal RNA is filed under the name uncultured bacterium. Its description in RNAcentral is "partial 16S ribosomal RNA". It matches the Rfam family "Bacterial small subunit ribosomal RNA", at positions 28 to 523 of the family's 1533-position model. The record is from RNAcentral.
GAUGAACGCUAGCUACAGGCUUAACACAUGCAAGUCGAGGGGAAACGACAUCGAAAGCUUGCUUUUGAUGGGCGUCGACCGGCGCACGGGUGAGUAACGCGUAUCCAACCUGCCCACUACUUGGGGAUAACCUUGCGAAAGUAAGACUAAUACCCAAUGAUAUCUCUAGAAGACAUCUGAAAGAGAUUAAAGAUUUAUCGGUGAUGGAUGGGGAUGCGUCUGAUUAGCUUGUUGGCGGGGUAACGGCCCACCAAGGCUACGAUCAGUAGGGGUACUGAGAGGAAGGUCCACCACAUUGGAACUGAGACACGGUCCAAACUCCUACCGGAGGCAGCAGUGAGGAAUAUUGGUCAAUGGGCGAGAGCCUGAACCAGCAAAGUAGCGUGCAGGAUGACGGCCCUAUGGGUUGUAAACUGCUUUUAUAAGGGAAUAAAGUGAGCCUCGUGAGGCUUUUUGCAUGUACCUUAUGAAUAAGGACCGGCUAAGUCCGUGCCAGCCGCCGCAGUAA